UUAAGUGUUUUACUCAGUUGAAUUGUAUUAAAUGCGUCAUUCGCUCUCUCAAAAAGUCACAUAAAAAAAAUAAUAAUAAUAAUUGACCGCGUAGUUUUUGAGUUAUGGCCAUAGCAACACCAUAGCAACGAGGGACGCGCCGUCCUGCCGACCCCUACCUCAUGACGUAACUUCCAGGAAGCCUCGCCACCACUCUGAACGCGGAAAUAUAGCACCACGCUAUCCUCGCCAUAUAUUGCAUACAUUUUCUGGGUUUUACUCGCGGGAUUCGUCAUGCCAUCUCGAUGUGUAGCGAUGAAUUACUCACAGGAAGAUUCGAGACUCUAGGAGUGGUCCCAAAAAAACUUCUCCUGCAAAGCCACGACAGCUUUGAAAACCUACAACAAUGCAACCUUGGUUUUGCAAAGACGAAGCCAAACAUAAAAAAUUAAGUGGCGGAAACCCUCAACACGAUGAAAAAAGCGUUGCAAGUCAGUUGCCACCCAGUUUCCCAAAAUCAAGAGAGAGUGGGUCGAGUCAUAUGAUGACCGAAGUGAUGCGGUGUCCAGCGAUGACGACUGAAGAGAUCCUAUGAGGCCUGCCAGAUGCUGAAUUUCUUCCGUCUGCGACAUCAGAUGACGAUGAUUUAGGAGAAAUAAAUGUAGCAAAUUUUGAUGACAUGAAAUCAUAAACUAGUCAUAUAUACAGUACACAUUUUUUAAAAGAAAAAUCAAGUUACCUUCAUAUUUUAAUGAUAAUGCAUUAUCUUUGUAUAGAGAACACUUCAUGCUACAGAAAAGAGUAAAUACAUAUACAUAAAUCUGGUAUCAUUUAUUAUUGUGGCCUAUUAAAUAUUUUUUCAGAAUGUAAUAUAAUUACAAUAUAUUAUAUACCAAUAGAAUACAUUAAACAGUCAACAAAAUGUGUC
Corythoichthys intestinalis (scribbled pipefish) is the source of this 907-nucleotide long non-coding RNA. RefSeq lists it as uncharacterized. Lineage: Eukaryota; Metazoa; Chordata; Actinopteri; Syngnathiformes; Syngnathidae. The record is from RefSeq and is a predicted model, not a curated record. The transcript has 3 exons.